GUCUACGGCCAUGCCACCCUGAGCAAGCCCGAUCCCGUCUGAUCUCAGAAGCUAAGCAGGGUCAGGCCUGGUUAGUACUUGGAUGGGAGACCACCUAGGAAGACCAGGUGCUGUAGGCG
RNAcentral lists this ribosomal RNA (119 nucleotides) under Pteropus alecto (black flying fox). Lineage: Eukaryota; Metazoa; Chordata; Mammalia; Chiroptera; Pteropodidae. The record is from RNAcentral.